Molecule: ribosomal RNA, 420 nt
Filed under: uncultured bacterium
Lineage: Bacteria
Description: bacterial SSU rRNA
Rfam family: Bacterial small subunit ribosomal RNA
Source: RNAcentral
CGUGUCGUGAGAUGUUGGGUUAAGUCCCGCAACGAGCGCAACCCUUGAUCUUAGUUGCCAGCAUUCAGUUGGGCACUCUAAGGUGACUGCCGGUGACAAACCGGAGGAAGGUGGGGAUGACGUCAAAUCAUCAUGCCCCUUAUGACCUGGGCUACACACGAGCUACAAUGGACAGAACAAAGGGCAGCGAAACCGCGAGGUUAAGCCAAUCCCACAAAUCUGUUCUCAGUUCGGAUCGCAGUCUGCAACUCGACUGCGUGAAGCUGGAAUCGCUAGUAAUCGCGGAUCAGCAUGCCGCGGUGAAUACGUUCCCGGGCCUUGUACACACCGCCCGUCACACCACGAGAGUUUGUAACACCCGAAGUCGGUGAGAUAACCUUUUAGGAGCCAGCCGCCGAAGGUGGGACAGAUGAUUGGGGU